This 228-nucleotide long non-coding RNA is filed under the name Elaeis guineensis (African oil palm). Its description in RNAcentral is "long non-coding RNA (EGUI_LNC070759)". Lineage: Eukaryota; Viridiplantae; Streptophyta; Magnoliopsida; Arecales; Arecaceae. The record is from RNAcentral.
UUUGCACGAGAAACUCUUUCUCGUGUAAAGAAAAUGGCGCACAAAAGGAUAAGGACAUGGCGCAUGGGAUUAGUUAUCCAUUUAAAUUCAAACACCCUUUGAAUUUGAAUGGCUAAUAAAUCAUGUUUAUCCAAAUAAUUGGCGCACAAGUGUGGGCAUGGGAAGGCCUUUGCGUGUGAGAAAAUUCAUGAGAAGUUAUUUCUCGUGAAUUCAAAUGGGUGCAGAAGA